RNAcentral lists this ribosomal RNA (498 nucleotides) under uncultured bacterium. Its description in RNAcentral is "bacterial SSU rRNA". It matches the Rfam family "Bacterial small subunit ribosomal RNA", at positions 28 to 508 of the family's 1533-position model. The record is from RNAcentral.
GAUGAACGCUGGCGGCGUGCCUAAUACAUGCAAGUCGAGCGAACAGACGAGGAGCUUGCUCCUCUGACGUUAGCGGCGGACGGGUGAGUAACACGUGGAUAACCUACCUAUAAGACUGGGAUAACUUCGGGAAACCGGAGCUAAUACCGGAUAAUAUAUUGAACCGCAUGGUUCAAUAGUGAAAGACGGUUUUGCUGUCACUUAUAGAUGGAUCCGCGCCGCAUUAGCUAGUUGGUAAGGUAACGGCUUACCAAGGCGACGAUGCGUAGCCGACCUGAGAGGGUGAUCGGCCACACUGGAACUGAGACACGGUCCAGACUCCUACGGGAGGCAGCAGUAGGGAAUCUUCCGCAAUGGGCGAAAGCCUGACGGAGCAACGCCGCGUGAGUGAUGAAGGUCUUCGGAUCGUAAAACUCUGUUAUUAGGGAAGAACAAAUGUGUAAGUAACUAUGCACGUCUUGACGGUACCUAAUCAGAAAGCCACGGCUAACUACGUGC